Long non-coding RNA from Dromaius novaehollandiae (emu), 198 nucleotides. RefSeq lists it as uncharacterized. The record is from RefSeq and is a predicted model, not a curated record. Lineage: Eukaryota; Metazoa; Chordata; Aves; Casuariiformes; Dromaiidae. The transcript has 3 exons.
CUCCCCCCCCCCCCAGGUGCGGCACCUGCUGGAGGAGGCCCCCCCCGCGCUGCCCCCAGCGCCGCCGCUGACGGUGCCGCCGGAAGCCAUCACGCUGCGCGAGGCCGAGCCCCUGGCGCCGCCCCCCGUCGAGGCGGAGCUGCCGGAGGUGACGGCGCGGGAGCUGGAGCUGCUGGCGGAGGCCGAGGCCGAGCUGCU